This 497-nucleotide ribosomal RNA is filed under the name uncultured bacterium. RNAcentral describes it as "partial 16S ribosomal RNA". It matches the Rfam family "Bacterial small subunit ribosomal RNA", at positions 28 to 507 of the family's 1533-position model. The record is from RNAcentral.
GAUGAACGCUGGCGGCGUGCCUAAUACAUGCAAGUCGAGCGAACAGACGAGGAGCUUGCUCCUCUGACGUUAGCGGCGGACGGGUGAGUAACACGUGGAUAACCUACCUAUAAGACUGGGAUAACUUCGGGAAACCGGAGCUAAUACCGGAUAAUAUAUUGAACCGCAUGGUUCAAUAGUGAAAGACGGUUUUGCUGUCACUUAUAGAUGGAUCCGCGCCGCAUUAGCUAGUUGGUAGGGUAACGGCUUACCAAGGCAACGAUGCGUAGCCGACCUGAGAGGGUGAUCGGCCACACUGGAACUGAGACACGGUCCAGACUCCUACGGGAGGCAGCAGUAGGGAAUCUUCCGCAAUGGGCGAAAGCUUGACGGAGCAACGCCGCGUGAGUGAUGAGGGUCUUCGGAUCGUAAAACUCUGUUAUUAGGGAAGAACAAAUGUGUAAGUAACUAUGCACGUCUUGACGGUACCUAAUCAGAAAGCCACGGCUAACUACGUG